Molecule: long non-coding RNA, 1381 nt
Filed under: Gallus gallus (chicken)
Lineage: Eukaryota; Metazoa; Chordata; Aves; Galliformes; Phasianidae
Description: lncRNA (ENSGALG00010019446.1)
Source: RNAcentral
GCCGAGGUUCGCUGCUUCCGAGCUGUUCCGGCCAGAACCACAGCGACUGACCGCGAGCUGCACGGCGCUUUCGGUCGGUUCCUUUGCCCGGGAGCCCCGAGCUAACGGAGCGGCCCGGCAGCUCUCGCGAGAGUGGCCGAUGUGGCCGUUGCCGGGCCAACGGCUGUGGACCCACGAGCCUUGCCUUAGAGAAAGCGGAGAUACCGUGUGACUGGGAAUGAAGGUGCUCCAGCUUCCCCUCUGAGUUCCAGGACUGAAACUCCGGCAGAUCACAUGGAUAUGUCAUGGCUUUUUAGUUCCUUUGAGAGCUGCCAGCUCAAAGGCCAAAUGUCGGCCAGGUCUGUCUGCAGGUGUGAGAGCGUAGUCCUGUGCGUGUAUGCCCUUUCCUUGCACGAUCCACUGGUAUGCUCCACUAUUCAGUGAUGCCGUUGUGCACGGAAACUUUUCAUGGGUCUUUGGUUGCAGAAGUGCCCCCAGGGAGGGCCUUGCUGGUUUCUCGGCUCCUUCCUGCGAUGGAGACCAGUUGGAAUCCCAUGGGUCCGCAAAGAGGAAACAGAGGAAAGGAUACACCUAGAAGAGGGAAGUACUACUGGUGGUCAUCCCGUGUCCUAAAGGAACCUGUGAAGAAAAUGGAGAAGGCAGCGCAUGGUGGGACUAAAGGGACUGACCAAGAGACUGUGCAGAAGGAGCCAUUGCAGGAAAGCAGCAGUGACACACGGCCAGUCUCUGAUAGAAAAACACAGGCAGAACAAGCAGCUGGAUUGCCAGGGGUGGAUGUUGGGAAAAUCACAACGGCCGCUGUUGGCAAAGAGCUGCGAAAACACCACAUCCCAGUGAUUGCUGUGGUCUCCGCUGUGCUGCUGUCUGUGCUGAUGCUGGCCUGUGUUCCUAUGCUGUGGAUGUGGAAAAAAUAUCUGGCACGCAAGACAGAGCGGACAGCUGCAAGACAAGCUGACUGGGAGAGAGAUCAAAACAGAGAUGAAGGCAGAGCGGAGCUGGGGGAGGCUGCAAAGGAGGAUGUCCUCGACCAAGGAAAAAUCAUCUCCAGGGCAUUCUCCUGGUCCUUUGAAGCAGAAUUUGCUGACCUGUGCAACAGAAUCAGAGCAGACCCCUCCCUUCAGCCCACGCAUCCCAGCAGCUCUCCUACUGUCAACGUCUCUUCCCUCAGUAGCUGCAGCUCUCAGGAUACCCCUGAGCCAUCCAGUGCCCCUGUUACCGGUGCCAAGAAGGCUCGGGUUCAUUGAAAGGUCCCACUUUGUGAUCAAUAAAGACAUUCCAUUCAAAAGCUGCUGCUGUGACCAUUUCCAUUGAGUUAUAGGGCAUAGGGCUGGGGCCAGCACUUGGUGCAAGGGAAGCAGUCGGAGAGCUGCAUGCCAGGGAG